This 446-nucleotide ribosomal RNA is filed under the name uncultured bacterium. RNAcentral's name for it is "bacterial SSU rRNA". It matches the Rfam family "Bacterial small subunit ribosomal RNA", at positions 330 to 793 of the family's 1533-position model. The record is from RNAcentral.
UCCAGACUCCUACGGGAGGCAGCAGUGGGGGAUAUUGCACAAUGGGGGAAACCCUGAUGCAGCAACGCCGCGUGAGUGAAGAAGGUCUUCGGAUUGUAAAGCUCUGUUCUUGGUGAAGAUAAUGACGGUAGCCAAGGAGAAAGCUCCGGCUAACUACGUGCCAGCAGCCGCGGUAAUACGUAGGGGGCAAGCGUUAUCCGGAUUCACUGGGUGUAAAGGGAGCGUAGACGGCGACGCAAGUCUGGAGUGAAAGCCCGGGGCCCAACCCCGGGACUGCUCUGGAAACUGCGGCGCUGGAGUACGGGAGGGGCAGGCGGAAUUCCUGGUGUAGCGGUGAAAUGCGUAGAUAUCAGGAGGAACACCGGCGGCGAAGGCGGCCUGCUGGACCGUGACUGGCGUUGAGGCUCGAGAGCGUGGGGAGCAAAUAGGAUUAGAUACCCGUGUAC